RNAcentral lists this long non-coding RNA (236 nucleotides) under Pan troglodytes (chimpanzee). RNAcentral describes it as "long non-coding RNA NONPTRT006301". Lineage: Eukaryota; Metazoa; Chordata; Mammalia; Primates; Hominidae. The record is from RNAcentral.
CCACAGUUUGUAGGUGUGGAGGGCUUCAUCACCGGCCUCCUCGACCUCCUCCCAGCCUCCUACUACUUCUGUUUCCAAAGGGAGAUCUCUGUGGCCCUCUGUUGUGCCCUCUGCUUUGUCACUGAUCUCUCCAUGGUGACUGAUGGUGGGAUGUAUGUCUUCCAGCUGUUUGACUACUACUCAGCCAGCGGCACCACCCUGCUCUGGCAGGCCUUUUGGGAGUGCGUGGUGGUGGC